Molecule: ribosomal RNA, 46 nt
Filed under: Ilyonectria sp.
Lineage: Eukaryota; Fungi; Ascomycota; Sordariomycetes; Hypocreales; Nectriaceae
Also listed under: 2 other names
Description: partial 28S ribosomal RNA
Source: RNAcentral
GUUUGACCUCGGAUCAGGUAGGAAUACCCGCUGAACUUAAGCAUAU